GGUUUCUUGUUAAUUUGAUAUAUAUAUAUAUAUAGGAGAUUUGGCCUGCCCACUGAAUUAAUUUUGAAGGGCCGCAGUAUUUUAACUGUGCAAAGGUAGCGUAAUUAUUAGUCUUUUAAUUAAAGGCUUGUAUGAAUGGUUAGACGAAGUAAAUACUGUUUUAUAUUGAUAAUGUAGUUGAAUUUGGAUUUUAAGUAAAAAUACUUAAAUUUAGUUGAGGGACGAGAAGACCCUAUAGAGUUUAAUAAAUUGUUUGGUUAUAAAGUUAAAAGCUAAAUUUUUUGUUAUGAUUUUAUUUUAUUUAAUUGGGGUGAUUGGAGGAUAAGAAAAACUCUUUUGUAUAAUUAAUAAUUAUAGGUAGAAUUUAUGAUCCAUUUUAUAGUGAUUAGAAGAAUGAAUUACCUUAGGGAUAACAGCAUAAUUUUUUUUGAAAGUUCUUAUUGAGAAGAAAGAUUGUGACCUCGAUGUUGGAUUAAGAUGAAAUUUGUGUGUAGAUGUUCAAAAAUUUAGGUCUGUUCGACCUUUAAAAUCUUACA
RNAcentral lists this ribosomal RNA (536 nucleotides) under Musoniola sp. 2 JMR-2016. RNAcentral describes it as "partial 16S ribosomal RNA". It matches the Rfam family "Bacterial large subunit ribosomal RNA", at positions 1816 to 2600 of the family's 2925-position model. Lineage: Eukaryota; Metazoa; Arthropoda; Insecta; Mantodea; Thespidae. The record is from RNAcentral.